GAUGAACGCUGGCGGCGUGCCUAAUACAUGCAAGUCGAGCGAACGGACGAGAAGCUUGCUUCUCUGAUGUUAGCGGCGGACGGGUGAGUAACACGUGGAUAACCUACCUAUAAGACUGGGAUAACUUCGGGAAACCGUAGCUAAUUCCGGAUAAUAUUUUGAACCGCAUGGUUCAAAAGUGAAAGACGGUCUUGCUGUCACUUAUAGAUGGAUCCGCGCUGCAUUAGCUAGUUGGUAAGGUAACGGCUUACCAAGGCAACGAUGCAUAGCCGACCUGAGAGGGUGAUCGGCCACACUGGAGCUGAGACACGGUCCAGACUCCUACGGGAGGCAGCAGUAGGGAAUCUUCCGCAAUGGGCGAAAGCCUGACGGAGCAACGCCGCGUGAGUGAUGAAGGUCUUCGGAUCGUAAAACUCUGUUAUUAGGGAAGAACAUAUGUGUAAGUAACUGUGCACAUCUUGACGGUACCUAAUCAGAAAGCCACGGCUAACUACGUG
Molecule: ribosomal RNA, 497 nt
Filed under: uncultured bacterium
Lineage: Bacteria
Description: partial 16S ribosomal RNA
Rfam family: Bacterial small subunit ribosomal RNA
Source: RNAcentral